GACGAAGCCGUCCAAACGUUAUUCGGAAUCACUGGGCUUACAGAGUUCGUAGGCGGUCUGGAAAGUUGGGUGUGAAAGUCCCUCCGGCUCAACCGAGGAACUGCGCUUGAAACUACCAGACUCGAGGGAGAUAGAGGAAAGCGGAACUGAUGGUGGAGCGGUGAAAUGCGUUGAUAUCAUCAGGAACACCGGUGGCGAAGGCGGCUUCUGGGUCUUACCUG
This 221-nucleotide ribosomal RNA is filed under the name uncultured bacterium. RNAcentral describes it as "partial 16S ribosomal RNA". It matches the Rfam family "Bacterial small subunit ribosomal RNA", at positions 524 to 742 of the family's 1533-position model. The record is from RNAcentral.